UACAGAGGGUGCGAGCGUUGUUCGGAAUUAUUGGGCGUAAAGGGCGCGCAGGCGGCUGCUCAAGUCAGGCGUGAAAGGCCUGGGCUCAACCCGGGAAUUGCGCUUGAGACUGGGCUGGCUUGAGUGCGGGAGAGGAUGGUGGAAUUCCCAGUGUAGAGGUGAAAUUCGUAGAUAUUGGGAAGAACACCGGUGGCGAAGGCGGCCAUCUGGACCGCAACUGACGCUGAGGCGCGAAAAGCGUGGGGAGCAAACAGG
RNAcentral lists this ribosomal RNA (255 nucleotides) under uncultured bacterium. Its description in RNAcentral is "partial 16S ribosomal RNA". It matches the Rfam family "Bacterial small subunit ribosomal RNA", at positions 524 to 776 of the family's 1533-position model. The record is from RNAcentral.